GACGAACGCUGGCGGCAUGCCUAACACAUGCAAGUCUAGGGGUAGCAAUACCACUGGCGCACGGGUGAGUAACACGUAGGUUAUCUGCCCCCAUCACAGACAUAACCCCGGGAAACCGGGGCUAAUAUCUGAUGAGGUCGCGAGAUCAAAGCUUCGGCGGAUGGGGAUGAGCCUGCGGCUGAUUAGCUAGUUGGUGAGGUAAUGGCUCACCAAGGCGACGAUCAGUAGCUGGUCUGAGAGGACGAACAGCCACACUGGAACUGAGACACGGUCCAGACUCCUACGGGAGGCGGCAGUGAGGAAUAUUGGUCAAUGGGAGCAAUCCUGAACCAGCAAUGCCGCGUGUGGGAUGACAGGGCUUCGCCUUGUAAACCACUGUCGGACGGGACGAAAGGAGGCCUCGGGCCUCUGGGACGGUACCGUCAAAGGAAGGGUCGGCUAACUACGUGCCAGCAGCCGCGGUAAU
Molecule: ribosomal RNA, 466 nt
Filed under: uncultured bacterium
Lineage: Bacteria
Description: bacterial SSU rRNA
Rfam family: Bacterial small subunit ribosomal RNA
Source: RNAcentral